This 2267-nucleotide long non-coding RNA is filed under the name Phocoena sinus (vaquita). RNAcentral's name for it is "lncRNA (ENSPSNG00000009608.1)". Lineage: Eukaryota; Metazoa; Chordata; Mammalia; Artiodactyla; Phocoenidae. The record is from RNAcentral.
CUUACGUAUUCUAAGGUUAGACUUAGCUAUUGCCCUUUUCCUAAGCUGUGUCUUGUCCACAUGUUGUCCUUAAUAUUUCACAAAUACUCAAAAUACUUUUGAGGACACUACUGCAUAAAGAAACAAUGGGAGUGCCUGCUAUUGUGAUUAAUGGUUACUGGAACUAGAAAUUCUUUUUUCUUGUGGCAGACUGCCUGGCUUUGGGGACUCAUAAUGGUUUUAUUCAAAGGAAUCACCCCUCUUGGGGGGUAUUUUCGUGCUUCCUACUUUACACCCAGGAGGUAGCUUCUUUGUCAGUUUAGAGGUAGCUAGACUCCAUGCCAUUUGCAGUUUGUUUCCUGAAUCCCUGAGAACCGGGUUUUUUUUUGUUUUUAGAAAGUGACAUAGGUGCUUUUAUUGUCCCCACUUUACAAAGACGGUUACUGAGGCAUGGAGGGGCUUCGUGGCAUAGCGACGGUCAGAGUCAGCAGAACCCUUCUCGGGGUUGUUAGGCAGGUGAAAUGACAUAUGGAAUGAAAACUGCUUAUUGAUCUGUUGUUCUGUCUGCUUCAGCCAGGGCUGAGCAAGCUUCACACGUUCUGUUUUUUCUAGUCUAGAUAUACCAUCUGGCCUGAGACCCGGGCACCUUUAUGAAGUCCUGUUUGGACUUAGCUGAUUAUCUAGGUGGGUGUUGGAAGCCAGUCUGGCAUGUAGGCUCUGGACUUACCAUCCUCUUGCAACGGCCCAGGAGUCGCUGCUUGUCUGACUUCAGAGCUGCUACCAGCUGGAAGCCGAGGUUUUGAAUGUGUAUAAAUUGGUUGCAGGAGUUGCUCCUGCUGGUGGUGCUGCCAGCUUCUUGCAGGGCAGGCAGUUGUGGUGGAGUUGGGUAUGGCCAGGGAUGCUGCGAGCGGCUCCUCUCACAAUCGGGUUGUGUAAUGAGCUUUUCCAAUCUGUUUGGAGUCAGCAACCACUCAUGGCCUCUUCCUGUAGGGUGUUCUGCCAUUCUGGUAUUCAUCCUUGAGCUCUACGUGUGUUACCUGAAUAUAUAAAUUGUAACAUUUCUUCUGCAGAUUCUCUCUUGGUCUUUCUACAUUAGCUCUACCAAAGAGAAUAAAGCCCGUGCUCUCUAUUCAGUGUCAAGAGUAAGGGCAAUAAUUGUCCUUCGGUUUAAUAUUCCAGCCAAACCACUGAGGGUAUAUUGGUUCCUUUUUGGAUAAAACAUAUCUUAGGAGGAUGUUGACAGGUUGGAGUGACCCAGAAGUGGGCAGGUGUUUUAUUAGAAACCAUGUCAUGUGGAGGAUGAUUGUAGGGAGGGGAUUUUUUAGUCUAGAGGUAGAUGAUGAUAAUGGCUAACACUUUACUGAAUGUUGAUUGCGUGUCAAGCAGUGUACAAAGGAUUUUACAUGUGUUAUCCCAUGUACUUAUCAUACAAAAAGCCUGUGAGGCAGGUAUGGCUGUUAGCCCCAUUAUGCAGAUGAGGGAACUGAAGUACUGAGUUCCAUUUUUCUUUCUGGUAAAGUUCAGACUUUUUGGCCCAGCGCUGGGGAUAUUCUACACUUGCACUCACCUCAUCUUGUUUGCCUUUUUGCUUCUUUCCCAGAUCCUACAGCUGAAUCCCGUUGUGCUUCCCCAUUGAAAAGGAAUUAUGAGAUAUCAUAAAUAAAAGCUCAUAGCCCAGUGUCAGCAUACAUACUAGACCUCUGGGAAAUGUCAGUGGUCUCUUCUCAUUUUUCAAAUUAUCCAUCCAUCUCUGCUUUUCAAAAUCCUAUUCAUCCUUCAGGACCCAAUUUAAAUGUGAUCUCCUCCAGAAAACCCUGCCUGAUCUCAUAAACCGGUGAUAAUCUGCCCCUUCUUGACUCCUAGAGUACUCUGUUUAUUUCAUCCUGAUGGCGUUUACAACAUUUGACCUUGAACUCUCGUUUCCGGUCUUUUGUCCACCACCUGAUUAUAAACUCGGAGGGGCGGAGGCGAAUCGUGUUCCCCAACGUCAUCCUCCAGCAGAGACCUUGACACGUAGCAGGUGUCACAGAAAUAUGUGGAUAAGUGAAUGAGUUAUGGCAUUUCAUGACAGACUUCUCUUUUCAUAAAUGUCUGGAUUAAGCUAACAAAAAUUAUUUUGUGUUCCCUGAGCGCAUUGUACUUGUCUGUGGGAGUGGGAAUUGUGGCAUGAUUUUAGGCUGAGUGAUUUACAAGCCAACCUGGGAUUGCAGACAUGAAAUAAACCACAGAGAGAAAAAUCCACAAGCAGAUAAUGGCUUUUUGUGUGUUGCUAGUCCUUCAUAGUUUCU